GACAGAGGGUGCAAACGUUGCUCGGAAUCACUGGGCGUAAAGGGCGUGUAGGCGGGAGAGAAAGUCGGGCGUGAAAUCCCUAGGCUCAACCUAGGGACUGCACUCGAAACUUCUUUUCUUGAGUGCCGGAGAGGAAAGCGGAAUACCUGGUGUAGAGGUGAAAUUCGUAGAUAUCAGGUGGAACACCAGUGGCGAAGGCGGCUUUCUGGACGGUAACUGACGCUGAGACGCGAAAGCGUGGGGAGCAAACAGG
This 253-nucleotide ribosomal RNA is filed under the name uncultured bacterium. RNAcentral's name for it is "partial 16S ribosomal RNA". It matches the Rfam family "Bacterial small subunit ribosomal RNA", at positions 524 to 776 of the family's 1533-position model. The record is from RNAcentral.